UACGUAGGUGGCAAGCGUUGUCCGGAAUUACUGGGUGUAAAGGGCGUGUAGGCGGGUUAUUAAGUCAGAUGUGAAAUUCCGAGGCUCAACCUCGGCGCUGCAUCUGAAACUGGUAAUCUUGAGUGCUGGAGAGGAAAGCGGAAUUCCUAGUGUAGCGGUGAAAUGCGUAGAUAUUAGGAGGAACACCAGUGGCGAAGGCGGCUUUCUGGACAGUAACUGACGCUGAGGCGCGAAAGCGUGGGGAGCAAACAGG
This 253-nucleotide unclassified non-coding RNA is filed under the name uncultured Oscillospiraceae bacterium. RNAcentral describes it as "contains 16S-23S intergenic spacer region". It matches the Rfam family "Bacterial small subunit ribosomal RNA", at positions 524 to 776 of the family's 1533-position model. The record is from RNAcentral. Lineage: Bacteria; Bacillati; Bacillota; Clostridia; Eubacteriales; Oscillospiraceae.